RNAcentral lists this transfer RNA (75 nucleotides) under Candidatus Poribacteria bacterium. RNAcentral's name for it is "tRNA-Thr". It matches the Rfam family "tRNA". Rfam says of the family: Transfer RNA (tRNA) molecules are approximately 80 nucleotides in length. The record is from RNAcentral. Lineage: Bacteria; Candidatus Poribacteria.
GCCGGCGUAGCUCAGAGGUAGAGCAGUUGAUUCGUAAUCAGCGGGUCGGUGGUUCGAUUCCACUCGCCGGCCCCA